RNAcentral lists this ribosomal RNA (627 nucleotides) under Triticum aestivum (bread wheat). RNAcentral's name for it is "partial small subunit ribosomal RNA". Lineage: Eukaryota; Viridiplantae; Streptophyta; Magnoliopsida; Poales; Poaceae. The record is from RNAcentral.
AUGCCUCCGAGCGCCGGCGAGGUGGCGCGGCCGCAGAGCCCACUCCGCGCCAUGAUGCCGCAGAGCCCGCUCCGGAUCAAGCAGGGCGGCAAGUUCUACGAGCGGCUGCUUACCAAGGAGAGCUCGGGGGCCAACCCGUCGUUCCGGUACUACGGGUCGGAGCCGGGCUCCGUGCCGUUCGUCUGGGAGUCGGAGCCCGGGACGCCCAGGGAUGCCUCGCGGAUGGUCGGCGGCGCGCUCCCGGCCAUCACCCCGCCCCCGUCCUACCUGCUCCGCCACCACGGCGGCGGCGUCGACGUGUCCCGUCGCGUCACGGCCACGGGCAGGAAGAAGCGGUACAGGCUCAAGCGGACGAUCAAGGUCGGCUUCAUCGCCGACAUGUUCCGCAGGCUCGCCGUCGGCAAGGCGUGCUGGUCGCGGCCGGGGCCGUCGCCGGCCCAGGUGUCGUCGUCCAGCCGGUGGCUCGUGGCGUCGGAGAAGCCGCCCGACCAGCACGGGCGCCACGACGAUCAGGCUCCCGCGGCGAAGAGCGGCGCCGUGGUGUGCUCCGGGGCGCGUCAGCCGAGCCCGUGCUGGAUGCUGCCGUUUCGCGGCGGCACGGGCAACCGGAACCGCGACUGCGACUAG